GACGAACGUUGGCGGCGUGCUUAAUACAUGCAAGUCAACUGAAGCAGUGGUAGCAAUAUCGCUGUGGAGGUGGCGCACGGGUGAGUAACACGUAGGUAAUCUGCCUUCAGGUCUGGCAUAACUCCGGGAAACCGGGGCUAAUAGCAGAUGAUGCAGCGGCUCGACAUCGAGACAGUUGUUAAAGCUAUGGCGCCUGAAGAUGAGCCUGCGUCUGAUUAGCUAGUUGGCGGGGUAACGGCCCACCAAGGCAACGAUCAGUAGCUGGUCUGAGAGGAUGAUCAGCCACACUGGAACUGAGACACGGUCCAGACUCCUACGGGAGGCAGCAGUAAGGAAUAUUGCUCAAUGGGAGAAAUCCUGAAGCAGCAACGCAGCGUGAGGGACGAAGGGCUUUGGCUUGUAAACCUCUGUAGUGAGAGAAAAAAAUCCCAAUCUUUGGGACAUGAUGGUAUCUCAAAAGUAAGCCCCGGCUAACUACGUG
This 481-nucleotide ribosomal RNA is filed under the name uncultured bacterium. RNAcentral's name for it is "partial 16S ribosomal RNA". It matches the Rfam family "Bacterial small subunit ribosomal RNA", at positions 28 to 507 of the family's 1533-position model. The record is from RNAcentral.